AGCCCCACAUUCUCUCUACAUUAUAUAUUUUUUAUAUAUUUUUGUUUCCAUUGUUACCAUGUUUCUCAUAGUUGAUUACUAUUUUUCUAUUGUCCCUUAAUUAGUCCAUGAUUUUUAGAUUGUGUAUCAGUUAUGAGUAUCCAUAUUAUAUCUAUUGAGAAUGGGUACUUUAUUUUUUAUUUUUAUUUACUACGUGUUUGUUUGCAAUGAUAGUGUGGUGUUUUGGCAAAAAAGUUAUCGCUAGUUUUUAUUUCAAAAAGUGCAGACAAGCAGCUUUCAAGAUAAAAAAUCCUAAAUGAGCUACUAUUAUCUAUGCUUUAAAGCCUUUCAGAAAGUCUCUUUCACAAAAUCCAAGAUAAAUUUUGAUUUUACCUUAUGUUCUACAAUCACUAGCUGCUUAAUUGUAAUAUCUUCUAGCUCAUUUAUUUGACAUUAUUUAUUUAUGAAUAAAAUGAGAUAUUUUUGUUUCAUCAUUUGUUAUAUUUUAUUUAAAAAUUAUGAUGAAUCUCAUAAAUUAAGAUAAUUAUUUUAAAACCAUGAUGAGAUCAUGCCAAUGAGACCUAAAAUCCUAAAAUCUUAAUCUAAAAUAUUUCUACUCGUUGGAUCAUUGAGUCAGGGAUCAAUGAUACCAGUAAGGCUGGCAUAUCCUAUAUAUGCUCAAUAG
Molecule: long non-coding RNA, 664 nt
Filed under: Elaeis guineensis (African oil palm)
Lineage: Eukaryota; Viridiplantae; Streptophyta; Magnoliopsida; Arecales; Arecaceae
Description: long non-coding RNA (EGUI_LNC079878)
Source: RNAcentral